GGGCGAGAAUAAGGGUUAGGGUAAAAGUUAGGGUUAGGUUUAGAAUAAGGGUUAGGGUAAAUGUUAGGGUUAGGUUAAGAAUAAGGGUUAGGGUAAAAGUUAGGUUUAGGUUUAGAAUAAGGGUUAGGGUAAAAGUUAGGGUUAGGUUUAGAAUAAGGGUUAGGGUAAAAGUUAGGUUUAGGUUUAGAAUAAGGGUUAGGGUAAAUGUUAGGGUUCGGUUUAGAAUAAGGGUUAGGGUAAAAGUUAGGUUUAGCUUUAGAAUAAGGGUUAGGGUAAAAGUUAGUGUUAGCUUUAGAAUAAGGGUUAGGGUAAAAGUUAGGGUUAGGGCUAGGGUAAGUAGAUCGUUAGUUGAAAUGUUACCGAUAGUCUGUAGAUAGUUCAUCUAUAGAUGCUCCACAGAUGGACUAUCUACACAAAGUGUUACCCAGUAUAGCAAUAGAAACUUUUAGAGAACCAGGCCUCAUCCUGCCCAGUAUCAGACGGUCUUGAGAACUCGACUUUUCUCUGGAUUGUUUGACAUUCCAGGCGUGUGAGUGUUCCACUUUUUCCACGGCCGAGUACUGACUGUUACUGUGGGGUCAACAGAAGGUCAGCUCUCACUAAUUGUAAUUUAAAACAUGUGUAAAUAUUUGUUGUGUGCGCGUUCCCUGGAUAUUGUGUGUACAGUGUCCUAUGGAAUCCUGGGAAAGUUCAUGGAAUACUCCUCAUGUAAACAAUCAGCACCAGAGUGUGAAAUGACCGUUACCAUUGCAACAGAAAAGACUAUCGUAACCAUAGUGAUAGAACAGAGGGGUUAGACAGUUUGGGAUAUUAAACUUUGCCAGACCCUGUGAGGGUGAGAAGGAAUGGACAGGCAGACUGAUACUGAAUGUGAUUCAAAAAAGCUACUGUAGCAAGGUCUGGUACCCAGUAACACACAC
Molecule: long non-coding RNA, 920 nt
Filed under: Salmo salar (Atlantic salmon)
Lineage: Eukaryota; Metazoa; Chordata; Actinopteri; Salmoniformes; Salmonidae
Description: lncRNA (ENSSSAG00000118565.1)
Source: RNAcentral